GAUGAACGCUGGCGGCGUGCCUAAUACAUGCAAGUCGAGCGAACAGACGAGGAGCUUGCUCCUCUGACGUUAGCGGCGGACGGGUGAGUAACACGUGGAUAACCUACCUAUAAGACUGGGAUAACUUCGGGAAACCGGAGAUAAUACCGGAGAAUAUAUUGAACCGCAUGGUUCAAUAGUGAAAGACGGUUUUGCUGUCACUUAUAGAUGGAUCCGCGCCGCAUUAGCUAGUUGGUAAGGUAACGGCUUACCAAGGCAACGAUGCGUAGCCGACCUGAGAGGGUGAUCGGCCACACUGGAGCUGAGACACGGUCCAGACUCCUACGGGAGGCAGCAGUAGGGAAUCUUCCGCAAUGGGCGAAAGCCUGACGGAGCGACGCCGCGUGAGUGAUGAAGGUCUUCGGAUCGUAAAACUCUGUUAUUAGGGAAGAACAAAUGUGUAAGUAACUAUGCACGUCUUGACGGUACCUAAUCAGAAAGCCACGGCUAACUACGUG
RNAcentral lists this ribosomal RNA (497 nucleotides) under uncultured bacterium. RNAcentral's name for it is "partial 16S ribosomal RNA". It matches the Rfam family "Bacterial small subunit ribosomal RNA", at positions 28 to 507 of the family's 1533-position model. The record is from RNAcentral.